CUCCCUCGUUGCUGAUCUCAGGUUCGAUAAUGCCAAAUCGCACCACCUCGCCAAGAACCAACUUCGAUGAAGCGACGGGCGGUGUGUG
Molecule: ribosomal RNA, 88 nt
Filed under: uncultured archaeon
Lineage: Archaea
Description: partial 16S ribosomal RNA
Source: RNAcentral